GAUGAACGCUAGCUACAGGCUUAACACAUGCAAGUCGAGGGGAAACGAUAGAGAAAGCUUGCUUUUUCUAGGCGUCGACCGGCGCACGGGUGAGUAACGCGUAUCCAACCUGCCCAUCACUUGGGGAUAACCUUGCGAAAGUAAGACUAAUACCCAAUGAUAUCUCUAGAAGACAUCUGAAAGAGAUUAAAGAUUUAUCGGUGAUGGAUGGGGAUGCGUCUGAUUAGCUUGUUGGCGGGGUAACGGCCCACCAAGGCGACGAUCAGUAGGGGUUCUGAGAGGAAGGUCCCCCACAUUGGAACUGAGACACGGUCCAAACUCCUACGGGAGGCAGCAGUGAGGAAUAUUGGUCAAUGGGCGCAGGCCUGAACCAGCCAAGUAGCGUGAAGGAUGACUGCCCUAUGGGGUUGUAAACUUCUUUUAUAAAGGAAUAAAGUCGGGUAUGUAUACCCGUUUGCAUGUACUUAUGAAUAAGGAUCGGCUAACUCCGUG
Molecule: ribosomal RNA, 492 nt
Filed under: uncultured bacterium
Lineage: Bacteria
Description: bacterial SSU rRNA
Rfam family: Bacterial small subunit ribosomal RNA
Source: RNAcentral